CCAGUGGCUCAGCAGUAAAGAAUCUGCCUGCAAUGCAGGAGAUGCAAGUUCAAUCCCUGUCUGG
This 64-nucleotide transfer RNA is filed under the name Bos taurus (domestic cattle). It matches the Rfam family "tRNA". Rfam says of the family: Transfer RNA (tRNA) molecules are approximately 80 nucleotides in length. Their secondary structure includes four short double-helical elements and three loops (D, anti-codon, and T loops). RNAcentral also lists the same sequence under 1 other name. Lineage: Eukaryota; Metazoa; Chordata; Mammalia; Artiodactyla; Bovidae. The record is from Rfam by way of RNAcentral.